GUACACUCCUACGGGAGGCAGCAGUGGGGAAUUUUGGACAAUGGGCGAAAGCCUGAUCCAGCAAUGCCGCGUGUGUGAAGAAGGCCUUCGGGUUGUAAAGCACUUUUGUCCGGAAAGAAAUCCUUGGCUCUAAUACAGUCGGGGGAUGACGGUACCGGAAGAAUAAGCACCGGCUAACUACGUGCCAGCAGCCGCGGUAAUACGUAGGGUGCGAGCGUUAAUCGGAAUUACUGGGCGUAAAGCGUGCGCAGGCGGUUUGCUAAGACCGAUGUGAAAUCCCCGGGCUCAACCUGGGAACUGCAUUGGUGACUGGCAGGCUAGAGUAUGGCAGAGGGGGGUAGAAUUCCACGUGUAGCAGUGAAAUGCGUAGAGAUGUGGAGGAAUACCGAUGGCGAAGGCAGCCCCCUGGGCCAAUACUGACGCUCAUGCACGAAAGCGUGGGGAGCAAACAGGAUUAGAAACCCUGGUAGUCCCAUG
RNAcentral lists this ribosomal RNA (477 nucleotides) under uncultured organism. RNAcentral's name for it is "partial 16S ribosomal RNA". It matches the Rfam family "Bacterial small subunit ribosomal RNA", at positions 331 to 799 of the family's 1533-position model. The record is from RNAcentral.